UACGAAGGGGGCUAGCGUUGCUCGGAAUCACUGGGCGUAAAGCGCACGUAGGCGGCUUCUUAAGUCAGGGGUGAAAUCCUGGAGCUCAACUCCAGAACUGCCUUUGAUACUGCAAAUCUCGAGUCCGAUAGAGGUGGGUGGAAUUCCUAGUGUAGAGGUGAAAUUCGUAGAUAUUAGGAAGAACACCGGUGGCGAAGGCGGCCCACUGGAUCGGUACUGACGCUGAGGUGCGAAAGCGUGGGGAGCAAACAGG
This 253-nucleotide ribosomal RNA is filed under the name uncultured bacterium. RNAcentral describes it as "partial 16S ribosomal RNA". It matches the Rfam family "Bacterial small subunit ribosomal RNA", at positions 524 to 776 of the family's 1533-position model. The record is from RNAcentral.